RNAcentral lists this small nucleolar RNA (133 nucleotides) under Mus spicilegus (steppe mouse). Its description in RNAcentral is "Small nucleolar RNA SNORA68 (ENSMSIG00000011189.1)". It matches the Rfam family "Small nucleolar RNA SNORA68". From Rfam's summary of the family: U68 is a member of the H/ACA class of small nucleolar RNAs (snoRNAs) which act as guides in the the modification of uridines to pseudouridines. Lineage: Eukaryota; Metazoa; Chordata; Mammalia; Rodentia; Muridae. The record is from Rfam by way of RNAcentral.
GUGGCACCCAACCCAAGAACUGCCGCUGCCUGUAUAGCGGCUGUUUAAAUAGUGGUGCACACAGCAAAGGGGCUUCUUCACCUUUGGGGGGCUGUGCAGUGCCCCCCAGAAUGAAUCAGUAGGUUCUACAGUC